RNAcentral lists this ribosomal RNA (260 nucleotides) under Candidatus Lloydbacteria bacterium RIFCSPHIGHO2_02_FULL_50_13. RNAcentral describes it as "partial 16S ribosomal RNA". It matches the Rfam family "Bacterial small subunit ribosomal RNA", at positions 96 to 362 of the family's 1533-position model. Lineage: Bacteria; Candidatus Lloydiibacteriota. The record is from RNAcentral.
UGGCAGACGAGGUAGUAACACGUAGGAACGAACCCCGUAGUCAGGGAUAACCCGUCGAAAGACGGACUAAUACUUGAUACACUCGCGAGAGGAAAGACAUGCCUAACGGCAGUCGCUAUGGGAUCGGCCUGCGACGUAUCAGCUAGUUGGUAGGGUAAUGGCCUACCAAGGCUAUGACGCGUAGGGGAGGUGAGAGCCUGACCCCCACCGAUGGGACUGCGACACGGCCCAUACACCUACGGGUGGCUGCAGUCGAGAAU